RNAcentral lists this long non-coding RNA (1446 nucleotides) under Androctonus crassicauda. Lineage: Eukaryota; Metazoa; Arthropoda; Arachnida; Scorpiones; Buthidae. The record is from RNAcentral.
GUAAAUGAAAGACUCCCAUGUAGUCUGGGGAGUCUCCUCCUAGCUGGAAUGUUGUUCACUUGAGCCUUGGAGAAGCAUCAGAGCCUCUGCAUCCUGCCCUGGACCAGACUCAAGUCUAGGAUCAGCCUUCAUGGAUGGUCUCACCUUCCCAUGCUGUGCUCAGGCCCAAGCCACGUGUGAGUCGAGUGAAUGACCAAGGCAGAUGCUAGCAAGCGGGCGCCUCCUUCUCAGCCUGCCUCUAGGAAGAAUGGACACCAGAGUUUGGCUUUUCUGGAAGAAUGGUGGAGGGGACCUCACUUCUCACAGUGGGAACCACACUGUUGUCUGUCCCCUUCCUAAGUGUGAUUCUCACAGAUGGGCUCCUGCACACUCACAUACGUGCGCAUGCACACACACACACACAUACACACAGAGAGACCACAUGCACACAGAGCACUCCGUAUGCAACUCUGUAUUCUUGCCAAAGACUUCCUUUAAACGAGAGCACUUUUACCCACUGCUCUUUUGUGAAUGAUCUGUUUUGUUGUUGUUUAUUGUUGAAUCUCUAUAUCAACAGGGAGAGUGUUGUCCAUUCUUAGACAGGAAUGAAAGAGGGGGAGGGGUGACAGGAGAACAUGGCGGCCAGUGAUGCCCUUAACAAGACCCCUUAGGAACAGCCCAGGUACAAACAGCCUCCGGCCACUCGGAAGAUCUGAGGUUGGAGGUGAGAUGGCAGAGAAGGGCACUGAUGGAGCCAGGAUUGGUGCCUAGGGAAGUCCCCGAUGGCUCUGGGGGUGGGGACAGGUGUGAAGAGCUGGGUUGGAACAGGGUGGACAUGAAGACUGGGAAAAUUAACAGUUGCAUACUGAAGUUGUUACUGUGGACCCCUGGUUACCUUGCCCUGCCAUGUUUUAGGAAAGAAUCCAAAUUUUAGUUUUGAAAGGGGGCAUUUGAGUCUUCUCACCUUACCGAUUCCUAGCAGCUUAGAUAGCCUCAGGCAUGAGUGCCAGGAUUCCUGAUAGGCCCUGGCUUUGGAGAGUCCCUAGGGAUAGCCCCUCUGGGGGUGUAGGGAGGACACUGUGGCUGUGCAUCCCUCUAAUGAGGGGCUUUCAGGAGAGAGAACCCUCCUGCUGCAGGGAAGUGCAGGAGAGACAAGUGAGUGGGCCGCAUCCUCCUGCCUCUGGGUUUUCUUCAUCCUACCUCCCGGGACAUCUGACCCCCUUUUCCCAGCUUCAGAUCUCGGGGAGAUCCAUCUAAGGGAAUCAGCCCUCUCCUGCCUCCAUGGCUUGGGUCCCUGAAGAGCUUGGAACCCAAAGCUAGGGCCCACCCCUGCACUUAGGCCUUGGACGAAGAUCUUGAGACUGGUGUUUCUGUGGUCACUGGUGGACAGGAUGUAUGUGCGUGCGCGUGUGUGUAAGUGUGGGUGUGUGUGCGUGCUCUGCUCAUCUCUAGGAGAUCGGAAGAGCG